Small nuclear RNA from Cricetulus griseus (Chinese hamster), 60 nucleotides. The record is from Ensembl. Lineage: Eukaryota; Metazoa; Chordata; Mammalia; Rodentia; Cricetidae.
GUGCUCACUUCGGCAGCACACAUACUAAAACUGGAAUGAUACAGAGAAGAUUAGCAUGAC